UGCUUAGCUGUUAUGCUGAUGUCAGCAAUACAAUUCUGUUAGACAGCUAGCAAUUAGUAUAAAUAGGGAUUGAGUCAUUCAGUUGAGGCAGUUUUUUAGUUGGUUAGGAUUUGGGAGAUUCUGGAUCUCGAAUUCCAGAGGCUAGGGUUCUUGUAGUGUUCUUGAUUCUUCUGUGUAAUUCCUGAGAAUUCAACCUCAGUACUUGAGGAUUGAGUCUCUGUUUUCUUCAAUAAACCAGUAGCAUUUCUGUGAGUUCAUCAAUUGGUAUCAGAGCUCCAUCCAGGAGCUGUGGUACCAUUCUAUGGUUGCUAGUAGAAUGGAGUCUCGUGUUGAUGCAAUCGAGAGACUCAUCGAGUUGAUGAGUCGCGACAGAGAAGAGGAUCGUCGAAUUCGAGAGGAAGAGCGCCGGGAGCGCGCGAUUGAGCGCGAGAGAACUGAGGAGCGGUUUCGCGCAUUGGAGAAGAUUGUGGAGAAUCUUGCUGCGAAGAGUGACGGUGAGAAAGGGAGCGAAGAACGCACAGGGAAAUUUCAUCGCAGAACAGGGGAGGAGAAAACGAUCGAAGGAACAGAGAGUGAAGGUGAUGUUCAAGGAGAUACAGUGAAUGAGUUGCGUUCUGAGGUUUCUCACACUGAGCGAUGGAGGAAAUUGGAGAUUCCAGUUUUCCAAGGAGAUGAAGAUGCCUAUAGUUGGAUUCAGAAAUUGGAAAGGUACUUCAAGCUUAAGGGAGCUACUGAAGAAGAAAAGGUCCAAGCAAUUAUGGUUGCAUUGGAUGGAAAAGCACUUAGCUGGUAUCAAUGGUGGGAAACCAGCAACACUGCCACAACUUGGGACAAGUUCAAGGAAGCACUGCUAGCCAGGUUCCAACUUGCAGCAGCUUCAAAUCCUUUUGCAGCAAUCUUGGCACUCAAGCAAGAAGGGAGUGUAGAGGAGUUUGUGGAGCAGUUUGAAAGGUUUGCAGGAAUGCUGAGAGGAGUGGGUGAAGAAAACUUCAUGGACAUAUUUGUCAAUGGCUUAAAGGAGGAGAUUUCAGCAGAAAUCAAGCUCUAUGAACCUGACACACUAGCUGCUAUGGUAAGGAAGGCUUUGAUGGUGGAAAAGAAGAAUAUGGCAGUGAGCAAAGCUGGAACCAAUGGUUCUGCCAGGUAUAAUAACUCCUACAAGUCCAAUUUUAAACCUUCAACUUAUCAUAAAACUGUUACAGUUGAAUCUGGUGUGAAGAGUGGAGGAAAUUCAGUAACACAGGGGUCAAAUUCCUCUAGUGGAAGUGUUAAUGACAAGUCUGUUAAUAAAACACAUAGAGGCAACCCAUUUAGGAGGCUAACAAGUGAGGAGAUGAGGGAAAAGAUUAGGAAAGGAGAAUGUUUCAGGUGUGAGGAGAAGUUUGGUCAGAAUCAUGUGUGCAAAAACAAGCAAUUUAGAGUCAUGUUGCUGGCUGAGGGGGAAGAGGGAGCUGAUAUGGAGGAAUAUGAGUUGUUGCUCGAAAAUUCAGAAGAGGUGUUGGAGUACAAGCAUCUCUCAUUGCUCAGUAUACAGGGAAUUUCCACAAGAAAGUCCCUCAAGGUGUGGGGAGGGUUGUUGGGAACCAGAAUUAUAGUUCUUGUAGAUUGUGGGGCAACUCAUAACUUCAUUUCAGGAGCUAUAGCUAGGAAAUUGGGACUUGUUGUCACCACUACUUCCACAUACACUGUAGAGGUUGGGGAUGGGCAUAAGGUGGAGGGAAAAGGAGUUUGCAAACAGGUAAGAAUUCAGAUACAAGGCAUAGAAGUGGUUCAGGACUUCUAUCUUUUUGAUUUGAAAGGAGUAGAUGUGGUUUUGGGGCUGGAAUGGCUCGCUGGGUUGGGAGAUAUUAAGGCCAACUUUGAGAAGCUCACCCUGCAAUUCAAGUUAGGAAACCAGAAAGUGAAGUUAAGAGGGGAACCUGAGCUUUUGAAGAAAAAGGUAUCCAUGAACUCUUUUGUCAAAACAAUACAGCAGCAAGGGGAGGGAUAUAUGUUACAUUACCAGCUGCUAGAGAAAGAAGAAGCAGUUGCUGAGGAGACACCAGCUGAAUUAAAGACAGUUUUGCAGCAAUUCCCUACUUUGUUUGCCUCUCCUACAGAGUUACCUCCUAAUAGAAGGCAUGAUCAUGCCAUACACCUGAAAGAGGGGGCUCAAAUUCCUAAUAUCAGGCCUUAUAGAUAUCCCCAUUAUCAAAAGAAUGAGAUAGAAAAGCUUGUAGCUGAGAUGUUGAAUGCAGGCAUAAUAAGGCCUAGCAUUAGUCCUUAUUCCAGCCCGGUGAUCUUGGUUCGGAAGAAGGAUGGAAGCUGGAGAUUUUGUGUGGAUUACAGGGCAUUAAAUAAGGUGACAGUGCCCAAUAAAUUUCCUAUUCCUGUGAUAGAUGAGCUGUUGGAUGAGAUUGGCCCAGCUAGGGUGUUUUCCAAGAUAGACCUGAAAUCUGGUUACCACCAAAUCAUGAUGAAGGCUGAGGAUGUAGAGAAGACAGCAUUUAGGACUCAUGAAGGGCAUUAUGAAUUCAUAGUAAUGCCUUUUGGACUAACUAAUGCUCCUUCCACUUUCCAAGCACUAAUGAAUGAGGUUCUGAGGCCAGUCUUAAGGAAGUAUGCUUUGGUUUUCUUUGAUGACAUAUUGGUUUACAGCCUCACUAUGGAAGAACAUGUUUUUCACCUCACUCAAGUACUACAAUUGAUGGAGCAGCAAGAUCUAAAGAUCAAUGGAAAGAAAAGUGUGUUUGGCAGGCAACAAAUUGAGUAUUUGGGCCAUAUACUCUCUGCUGGAACAGUAGCUGCUGACCCAAAGAAACUUGAGGCAAUGUGGAUGUGGCCAGUACCUAAGGAUUUGAAGAGUUUAAGAGGCUUCCUAGGACUCACUGGAUAUUACAGGAGAUUUGUAAGGGAUUAUGGCAAAAUUGCCAGGCCAUUGACUCAGUUACUCAAGAAAGACAGCUUCUUAUGGGGAGCAGAACCACAAAAGGCUUUUGAAGCCUUGAAGCAAGCUCUCACUGAAUUACCUUCCCUUGCUGUUCCAGAUUUUUCCAAGGUAUUUGUCCUGGAAACUGAUGCAUCUGGAACUGGUUUAGGGGCAGUUUUAUCUCAAGAAGGCAAACCUUUGGCUUUUUGGAGUGCAACCUUAUCUGAUAGGAGUCAGGCCAAGUCAGUUUAUGUGAGAGAAUUGAUGGCUGUGGUGAGAGCUGUUCAGAGAUGGAGGCAUUAUCUCAUGGGUAGGCAUUUUAUAAUCAGAACUGAUCAAAAGAGUCUUAAGUUCCUUACUGAACAGCAAGUGCUGGGGGAGGAACAGUUUAAAUGGAUUUCCAAACUGGCUGGUUAUGAUUUUGAGAUUCAAUACAAGCCUGGGAAGGACAAUUCAGCAGCAGAUGCAAUGUCCAGGAGAAGUUCUUAUUGCGCACUAUCAGUCAUUAAGGUUAAUGAUCUAGAGGAAUGGCAAGCUGAACUCAUGCAAGAUGAUAAAUUACAGGCUAUUAUGCAGGAUUUGAUUGUGGAUCCUGAUUCUCAUAGGGGAUACACCUUGAGAGACCACAGAUUGUAUUACAAAGGCAAGUUGGUUUUGCCUAAACUCUCUAACAAGAUUCCUAUCUUGUGCAAGGAAUUCCAUGCUUCUUUGGUUGGAGGACAUUCUGGUUUUUUCAGAACUUAUAGGAGGUUGGCUGCAGUGGUUUAUUGGGAGGGAAUGAAAGGGGACAUCAAGGAUUUUGUGGCUCAAUGUGAAGUUUGUCAGCAGAACAAGGUUGAUAACUUGUCUCCUGCAGGAUUACUUCAACCCUUGCCUAUUCCCACUCAAGUGUGGACUGAUGUGUCCAUGGACUUCAUUGGUGGGCUUCCUAAGUCUAAAGGGAAGGACACUAUCUUAGUGGUGGUGGAUAGGUUGACAAAGUAUGCACAUUUUGUUCCUCUCAGUCACCCCUACACAGCUCCUGAUGUAGCUGCUGCCUUCUUACAAGAAGUGGUGAGACUUCAUGGUUUUCCUACUACUAUUGUUUCUGAUAGGGAUUCAGUUUUCCUGAGUAGCUUCUGGAAAGAAUUGUUUAGACUUUCAGGGACUAAACUGAAGUAUAGCUCUGCCUAUCAUCCCCAAACUGAUGGCCAGACAGAAGUUGUGAAUAGAUGCCUUGAAGUUUAUCUUAGAUGCUUGACUGGCUCUAGACCAAAACAGUGGGUUACUUGCUUACCUUGGGCUGAGUUUUGGUUUAAUAGCAACUACAAUAGGUCUACAAAAAUGUCUCCUUUUCAGGCUCUUUAUGGGAGGGACCCCCCUUUGCUACUCCAUGGCACUACAAUUCCUUCUAAGUUGGAGGCUGUGAAUGUGUUACAAGCUGACAGGGAUGAACUAUUAGGGGAUUUGAGAGCUAAUCUUUUGAAGUCCCAAGACAUGAUGAGGAAAUUUGCUAACAAAUCAAGGAGGGAUGUUGAAUAUCAAGUGGGGGACUUGGUUUAUCUCAAGCUUCAGCCCUAUAGAAGAAGAUCCCUAGCUAAGAAGCUUAAUGAGAAGCUCAGUCCUAGGUUUUAUGGCCCUUUUCCUGUGGCUGCUAGGAUUGGUACUGUUGCUUAUAGAUUGGAUUUGCCUCCUACCAGUCGCAUACAUCCAGUUUUCCAUGUCUCCUUACUCAAGAAAGCAAUUGGUACUGGUUUCCAAGUUCAGGACUUGCCUCCUGUUUUGACUGAGGACCAUGAGCUGCUGGUUGAACCGGAGGAAGUGCUUGCUGUCAGAGAAUUAACCCAGGGAGUUGUGGAAGUGCUUAUUCAGUGGCAGUCCCUUCCUGCUUGUGAGAAUAGCUGGGAAUCAGCUGAGAAGAUUCAUGAAGCUUUUCCCACCUUUCCCCUUGAGGACAAGGUGGUACUUCUGGGGGGGGUAUUGAUGAUAGUUUUAUACCUAAAAUACCUAAGUCUAGGUUUACAAAGGUAUAUACUAGGAAACAUAAGGGAAGUAAGCCUUAGAAGGUUACUUCUAAUAUAGCUGCUUAGCUGUUAUGCUGAUGUCAGCAAUACAAUUCUGUUAGACAGCUAGCAAUUAGUAUAAAUAGGGAUUGGGUCAUUCAGUUGAGGCAGUUUUUUAGUUGGUUAGGAUUUGGGAGAUUCUGGAUCUCGAAUUCCAGAGGCUAGGGUUCUUGUAGUGUUCUUGAUUCUUCUGUGUGGGGGGGGGGUAUUGAUGAUAGUUUUAUACCUAAAAUACCUAAGUCUAGGUUUACAAAGGUAUAUACUAGGAAACAUAAGGGAAGUAAGCCUUAGAAGGUUACUUCUAAUAUAGCUGCUUAGCUGUUAUGCUGAUGUCAGCAAUACAAUUCUGUUAGACAGCUAGCAAUUAGUAUAAAUAGGGAUUGGGUCAUUCAGUUGAGGCAGUUUUUUAGUUGGUUAGGAUUUGGGAGAUUCUGGAUCUCGAAUUCCAGAGGCUAGGGUUCUUGUAGUGUUCUUGAUUCUUCUGUGUAAUUCCUGAGAAUUCAACCUCAGUACUUGAGGAUUGAGUCUCUGUUUUCUUCAAUAAACCAGUAGCAUUUCUGUGAGUUCAUCAAUCCGCCACUGUUUUAGACUUUAGUCAAUUACCAUUUAAAAAGAAAAUCAUUGUCAACCUUGCAUGAUAUGCUGAUAUACGAACAAGGUCUCAUGUCUUUAAUAUGAUAUGAUUUGUGACUGCUUUGUUCUUUAGACUUUAGUCAAUUACUAUUUAAAAAUAAAAUCAUUGUCAACCUUGCAUGAUAUGCUGAUAUACGAACAAGGUCUCAUGUCUUUAAUAUGAUAUGAUUUGUGACUUUUCUUAUUACCUGUGUUAUCGUUUGAGGCACUUAUUUGUAAUGCAAUGCUAUGUUUGGACCCUAGGGUAGAUGAUUUGUAUAUCUAUAUUUGUUGGUGGGGUUAUGUUGUGUUUGUGUUUUGCCAUGCACACAAAACUGAAACGUUCUAUACAGAAGAGAGCUCUAUACCCGAGCUGUGAGUCUAG
RNAcentral lists this long non-coding RNA (5947 nucleotides) under Lotus japonicus. Its description in RNAcentral is "long non-coding RNA (LJAP_LNC001822)". Lineage: Eukaryota; Viridiplantae; Streptophyta; Magnoliopsida; Fabales; Fabaceae. The record is from RNAcentral.